Molecule: ribosomal RNA, 429 nt
Filed under: uncultured bacterium
Lineage: Bacteria
Description: bacterial SSU rRNA
Rfam family: Bacterial small subunit ribosomal RNA
Source: RNAcentral
UGGGGAAUAUUGGACAAUGGGCGCAAGCCUGAUCCAGCCAUACCGCGUGGGUGAAGAAGGCCUUCGGGUUGUAAAGCCCUUUUGUUGGGAAAGAAAUCCAGCCGGCUAAUACCUGGUUGGGAUGACGGUACCCAAAGAAUAAGCACCGGCUAACUUCGUGCCAGCAGCCGCGGUAAUACGAAGGGUGCAAGCGUUACUCGGAAUUACUGGGCGUAAAGCGUGCGUAGGUGGUUGUUUAAGUCUGUUGUGAAAGCCCUGGGCUCAACCUGGGAACUGCAGUGGAAACUGGACAACUAGAGUGUGGUAGAGGGUAGCGGAAUUCCCGGUGUAGCAGUGAAAUGCGUAGAGAUCGGGAGGAACAUCCAUGGCGAAGGCAGCUACCUGGACCAACACUGACACUGAGGCACGAAAGCGUGGGGAGCAAACAGG